Venturia canescens is the source of this 3403-nucleotide RNA transcript. It is a transcript of the gene named RAS oncogene family member Rab19, with no coding region annotated. The record is from RefSeq and is a predicted model, not a curated record. NCBI's taxonomy places the organism in Eukaryota, Metazoa, Arthropoda, Insecta, Hymenoptera, Ichneumonidae. The transcript has 6 exons.
AGCGAGCUUGAGCGAAUUUCCAUUCGUGCUCAUCAUAAGAUAUGAAACUAAAAUUCAGAUUGUUAACGAUCGGGUCGUUGAGUCGUAUCAUUCGAACAAUCAAAGAAUAUUUCGCUUCCAUUUUAUUUCGAAUAAUAUAUAUAUAUAUUUGUAUUUGGUUUAACAAUUCUGCAUUCUCCACCGAGUGUAGUUAACGAGUCGGACAUCUUCCGAAGUUGACCGACACGGAAAAGCGCCACGUGUUGUAUAAAACUCCAAAAUGAAAAGCUACUGGCUAAAACAGUGGAAAGUAUUCCCGUUACAUCGUUAUUCCCCCAGCGUUCCCAGCCAACGAAAUACUUGUUUACAAAUAUGCAACGUUGAGAAGAGCAGCCCCAUUGGUCCCCCGUGGUGCGGCGAUUCUACUAUCUCGUACAUCGAUUCGCUCCACGUUGCGUACAUCAACCAAUUAGACGAAGAAGAGUGAUACGAAGAAAAAGGAAAGGGUUUCUCAAUGUGCACAGAUCUAAAACGAUCGGAGCAAACAUCACGAUGAUUUCCGGCCUCCAACAGCUCCGUUAGAGAGAUACAUGACAUUCCCUUUCCCAUCGGACAGGCAGCAGCGGCAGCAGACGUUUCUCCCGUUUGCUUCUCAUAUUCUCACGACUGAAGAUAACUUCGAUUAUUUAUUCAAAAUCGUAUUGAUCGGUGAUUGCAGUACGGGAAAAACAUGCGUCGUCCAAAGAUUCAGAUCGGGCACAUUUAUCGAACGUCACGGAACUACUAUCGGAGUCGAUUUUUCAAUGAAAACCGUUUUAGUCGAUGGAAAGAGGGUCAAGCUGCAAAUAUGGGAUACUGCGGGACAUGAAAAAUUCCGUACCAUAACUCAAAGUUACUAUCGAUCCGCUAAUGGCAUAAUCGUGGUGUACGACAUAACGAAGAGGUCGAGUUUUUUGAGUCUACAAAGAUGGAUCGAGGAGGUACGACGGUACACGUCCUCUCACGUGGUAUUGAUUUUAGUAGGCAAUAAAUGCGACCUCGAAGGAUUACGGGAGGUUGAGAAAGAAGAAGCCCAGGCGGUUUGCAAAUGUCUUCCCGAAAUAUUGCACGUCGUUGAAACUUCAGCCAAAGAAAAUACAAAUAUAGAUACAAUUUUUUAUUGCAUGGCCUCCGAGCUCAAGGUAAAUUGAACACUGAAAUUACCAUUCGAUCGAAAUAUGUGGACCGAUGAUCAAGAAUAACUUCAUUUUGCACUCUGAAAUGGGAGAAAUUUCGUAUGUUCGAAGCGGCAUGAGAACCGUCAGCUCAAAGUUAACGACGAGGACGUUGUUAAGCUCGGUAGUGGUCGAGAAUUGAGGCCGUGUUCAGGUUGCCCGUAUAGAAUGUCAUGAUAAUCAAUUUUUUCUUUUAUUUUUUUUUUUUUUUUAUCGCGUAACACACAAUACUCGCAUCGGAUCACAAGUCGUUUUCCCUUUUAGUAUUAUUUGGAAAGUGUGAUAGAGAGAUUUCCAGUGGCCCGGGUAUCGAUUCGAAUAUUCCUUGAUCAAAAUUCAAUUAGUUUCUUCUUUAUAUAAUCUUGAAGAUACAAAACCUCAAAAAUAUUUCUCGUGUAUAUAUCACCAGCAGCACAACCAUGAUUGCUGUUUUUUAAAAAUACUCACAAGAUAUUAACGUUCUCAUGAACUAUUUGAAUCGUCAUUUACCAGCUGCAUUCAUAUUCGUUUGCUCCAUUUUAUUUAAAAACUAUGUCUCUAGAACUCGAUGCUAAUUUGUUUUGACCGUAUACAAGAGGCAAACAUUGAUGAAACGAUGAAUUUUUGUGGAACAGCUGAAUUUAUUGUGAGUCGAAGAAUCGUUGCACAAUAACGCAGAAUCUCCGGGAUAUUUUUCAUCGAGUUUUUUCUAAUGAACAAAUUGGCUCGAUAUUUUAUGGCUUUGGUAUUGAGGGGUUCAGUUAAAAAUAGUUGUUCCGAUUAAAACUUAUAUCCGAGGAAUAAAAAAGCACCUUGGAACUUGGAACAAAUCUCGAUCCAUGAAAUCUCUGACCCAAGUGUAAAUUAUUCCUUCGAUUGAUUUUAUUGUAGAAAAUAAUCAUGGACCAUGCACGCACAUGUUAUUUUCGACGUAUUUAUUUACUUUGUUACCAACUGUUACGAUUGGUAAAAACUUUGUAUAAUAUUAAGAUUUUCUUACCUGUUUUUAACUCCCGACUGCCCGCAAGGCCAAAAAGACGGGAAUUAUGUGUUUCGUUAUUUAUGCACUUGCAGGAUAACAAUUUCAUUUGAAUGUUAAAUUGCUGAUUAGGGUUGUUACAAAAAUGAACACAUUUUUAUCUCCGCUUAUCGUCUUACCAAGAGGCCAAGAGGCAGGCCGCGUAGCUCAAAAUUGGAAGGUGGCCGAGACUAUUUUUCGUAUUUUUUUUUUCUCACCAUUAUUGUGAAAAAAAAUCAAGUCCCCGCAGUAAAUUGAUGGCUCAGAAAAUUAACAAUUAUUUUCAAACAUCUCGUUUUCAUCCAAGUACGUGUAUGAAUGUGUAAAAGAACUGUUGAAAGCCUUCAGAUUUCGAAUAUCAAUAUUCGUUUAUCAUUCAGAAGGUAUUUUUCGUCGAUUUGAAAGUUCACCGAUAUUUAUUAUAUUGAUGGAGCAUAUAUUUGAAUAACAGCUAAAACUUUUGAACGAAAUGAUGUUUACGAGAUUGAAAUGGAUUGCAGUAUAGAUAACUCGAACGGUGUGUAUCUGAUUCGCAAAACGCUCCACUCCUGCAAUCACGCCGACAAUCACACCAGCGAGAAAUACCUUCUGGAUGUCUAAAAAGUAUUGGGAUCCAAAGUAUGAAACGAUUUAUAUUUAUAUAUAGUUAGAUAUGAAAUAUAAAUAAGAUAUUUCAAAUUGAUUGUACAAGAAAUGUCAUCGAAAUACUACGAAAUUUUUAUUUUUCGCAUAUAAUGGCAAAGAAAAUAUAAAAGUGACCUUUCCCACUGAUAUGCUAAUUUGUGUAAACGAAAUGCGCGUUGAUGUAUUCUCUUUGUUCACUGUAAAACAUUGUUGCUUUGCAUUACAUGACAACUCGGAAGAAAAAUCUUUUUUACCAUAAUGAAUUUAUUUUUAGUGGUAAUUUUGUAGAGAACCGAGAUACCCUUGAAAAAUAUUGUGCGAAUCGAAUACGCGACUUCGUUUUUAAAAAUAACGAUAAACUUUCCGAAGAGGACGUUAUGCUAUCGAUCGUUGAGUCAUACCGACCAUUUAUCUAUAUUCGAAUUGAAACGGAUUCAAUUGAAAUGAAUAAAUAAUAGAGAGAAUUUUUCAUGGCUCAGAGUAAUAUAAUAAAGAUUAAUAAUAAAUGAUUCAGAUCGACGGGUUGAAAGGAUUGUCAAAAAAUAAUAACAACAUUUGUAUGCAAUAAACAAUAUUUAUUCACCGAAAA